RNAcentral lists this ribosomal RNA (420 nucleotides) under Diapoma alburnus. RNAcentral's name for it is "partial 12S ribosomal RNA". It matches the Rfam family "Bacterial small subunit ribosomal RNA", at positions 774 to 1395 of the family's 1533-position model. The record is from RNAcentral. Lineage: Eukaryota; Metazoa; Chordata; Actinopteri; Characiformes; Stevardiidae.
GGGAUUAGAUACCCCACUAUGCUUAGCCUUAAACCUAGAUGCUAAAUUUACAAGCAACAUCCGCCAGGGUACUACAAGCGCUAGCUUAAAACCCAAAGGACUUGACGGUGUCUCAGACCCGCCUAGAGGAGCCUGUUCUAGAACCGAUAAUCCCCGUUAAACCUCACCACCCCUUGUUUUCUCCGCCUAUAUACCGCCGUCGCAAGCUUACCCUGUGAAGGUCUAAUAGUAAGCAAAAUGGGUAUAUCCCAAAACGUCAGGUCGAGGUGUAGCUUACGAGGUGGGAAGAAAUGGGCUACAUUUUCUAUAUUAGAAUAAUACGAACAGCACCAUGAAAUUGAUGCUCGAAGGUGGAUUUAGUAGUAAAAAACAAAUAGAGAGUCUUUUUGAACCAGGCUCUGAGACGCGUACACACCGCCC